AACUUACAAUUGUUACAAGAUAUCACAUUAUUUUUACAUCCAAUUACAUUAUUUUUACAUGCAAUUGCCCAUUAUACAGUUGGGUUUUUACUGGAGCAAUCUAGGUAAAGUACCUUGCUCAAGAGUACAGCAACAGUGUCCCCAACCGGGGAUUGAACCCACGACCCUACAGUCAAGAGUCCAGAGCCCUAACCACUACUCCACACUGCUGCCCUAGCCACACAAGUGUUUAAAUAAACACUCCCUUUAGUUAAAAUGCCUGGCCAGGUAACUUCUUAAUUAUUGUAUCUAUUUAAUUAAGGAUUCCCCUUUAAGAAGGCUGAACUCCCAUGAGCCUUUGUUCUUUUUUAAACAGGUAGAGGGUGGAAGGGAGGCAGGUUUUGUGUUCUGGGUUCCUCCAUUUUGUGUAUGGUGGUGUGGUUUGUGUGCAGGUUCUGAAUGGGUUCCAGUUGGCUUUCAGGAUUUUAUUUACAAGAAAAUUAUAUUAAAUAAGAACUAUACCUACCUUGGAGCAUCUCUUGGACAACUUGUUGCUGUUGGACUGCCACUGGAACUACAGAAUAAGCAUCAACAAACAAACAAACAAACAGUCGGGUCUGUGAGGAUGAGAAGGUCUCCACAGUCUGGAGUCUGGUCUCUGACAGGCUCAACAUACCUGUCAAUCAACAGGGACUCCUCUACAAAGGCAAGGUGCUGGCAGGUAGGCUGAACAGCACAGCACAGCACAGCACAGCACAGCACAGCACAGCUCACCCCUCCUCUCACCCCUCGCCUCAUCCCUCCUCUCACUCCUCGCCUCACCCCGGGUCAGUGUGGCACAGCCUGCCUGCUCUUCUGAACAAACACUUCAGCCCUGCCGACGCAGUGAGAGUCUGGAGCAGCAACACAAGGUCUGUGAGGAUGAGAAGGUCUCCACAGUCUGGAGUCUGAUCUCUGACAGCCUCAACAUACCUGUCAAUCAACAGGGACUCCUCUACAAAGGCAAGGCGCUGGCAGGUAGGCUGAACAGCACAGCACAGCACAGCACAGCUCACCCCUCCUCUCACCCCUCGCCUCAUCCCUCCUCUCACUCCUCGCCUCACCCCGGGUCAGUGUGGCACAGCCUGCCUGCUCUUCUAAACAAACACUUCAGCCCUGCCGACGCAGUGAGAGUCUGGAGCAGCAACACGAGGUGAUGAAGUGACACUUUGAAUAUGGGGCCUGAUGAGAGAAGUAUCCUUUUCAUGUGGUUUUGGUUUUGCCGUUGUGAGCAGGUGUGGGAGACAGCACCGUGUCUGCAUGUGAAAUAACAAAGUCAUCGCAGUGGAGGGACUCUCUGAAGGCUGCUGUUUGUGGAUUUGUCUUGUAAUGUGAGUGAUCUACUGUACUGUGAUGCCACUGGCUGUACGCAUGCUGCACUGCAGGGGAGAGACCGCUGGCAUUCACAGGGCAUGCUUGUUCAUUUAAAGCACGCUGCACUGCAGGGGAGACACCG
Molecule: long non-coding RNA, 1474 nt
Organism: Acipenser ruthenus (sterlet)
Lineage: Eukaryota; Metazoa; Chordata; Actinopteri; Acipenseriformes; Acipenseridae
Exons: 4
Source: RefSeq, a predicted model, not a curated record